This 82-nucleotide transfer RNA is filed under the name Lachnospiraceae bacterium. Its description in RNAcentral is "tRNA-Leu". It matches the Rfam family "tRNA". From Rfam's summary of the family: Transfer RNA (tRNA) molecules are approximately 80 nucleotides in length. Their secondary structure includes four short double-helical elements and three loops (D, anti-codon, and T loops). Further hydrogen bonds mediate the characteristic L-shaped molecular structure. tRNAs have two regions of fundamental functional importance: the anti-codon, which is responsible for specific mRNA codon recognition, and the 3' end, to which the tRNAs corresponding amino acid is attached (by aminoacyl-tRNA synthetases). tRNAs cope with the degeneracy of the genetic code in two manners: having more than one tRNA (with a specific anti-codon) for a particular amino acid; and 'wobble' base-pairing, i.e. permitting non-standard base-pairing at the 3rd anti-codon position. Lineage: Bacteria; Bacillati; Bacillota; Clostridia; Lachnospirales; Lachnospiraceae. The record is from RNAcentral.
GCGGCCGUGACGGAAUUGGCAGACGUGCAGGAUUUAGGUUCCUGUGCCGCGAGGCGUGAGGGUUCGACUCCCUUCGGCCGCA